Long non-coding RNA from Carcharodon carcharias (great white shark), 1514 nucleotides. RefSeq lists it as uncharacterized. The transcript has 2 exons. NCBI's taxonomy places the organism in Eukaryota, Metazoa, Chordata, Chondrichthyes, Lamniformes, Lamnidae. The record is from RefSeq and is a predicted model, not a curated record.
AAUCAGAAACUGCUGGAAAUAACAGCUACUCUGGGGAGAGGAAUCUGUUUCAUCAGAAUAUUAGAGAUUUUAACAAGUUUUAAGCAGUUAUAAGGAGAUGACGAACACAAAGAGGUCAGUGUGAAAGAGGAGGGCAGCAGAGAUGAAAUGAGAAAAGGGAUGAUGGUGGAAAGCAAAAGGGGAUGGUAAAGGGACAAGGAAAAGAAACAAAAGAUGGGUCCAGAGGAGAUGGAAAGAGAGACCUGGGGGAGGAGCCUCACUGAUCUGUGAUCGGGCAGAGUCUGCACCAACAGGAAAAACAAGCCAGCAGCACCGACUCACUCUAUCUCAAAGCUGUCCUUGUCCCCAGUUUCAACUUCUCUCCGACUAGGGAAAACAAUCGCCUCGUGUGGGGUUUUUAAAGCAUUACUCCAAAGACUCAAAAUAUACUGGUAAAUUUUGAGUAUCUGCCAGACCCUUUGUAACUCAUCAGUGGCUGUCCUCAUGUUGCAAUAGUGGAAUGGGGCAUCCCCUUGCUGUAGCACCUGCCUGAUCAUACUGGCCUUAUCGAGGCAGGACCUGUUGCGGGAGAUUCGGAUGAUGCCGGUGGUGGGCAGGCUGGAAAAGCCCACCCUGGGUGGUGACCUACUCUGCCAGGUCACCUUGCAGUUUGAAGACUAUGCUCAUUUGCAGAACUCUAUAUGACUCUGAGCUGACACUGGGAAUAUGUAAUUACUGAAAAAUAAAAUUAAUUUUACUGUCAUACAAGAUGAAAAAAAUACUUUUGGUUGGCAGCAAUAAUUCAAAGUAAUAUUUUAUUUUUAGUUCAUGCUUGGGUCUGAACCGCAAUUGGGAGUGUGCUCACUGAUGGAUUAUAAAAUAAAAUAAUUAAUUUAGCAGAGUUCUUGAUAAUUAAUUGGCAGAUGUUUCAGAUUUUUCAGUAUUUCUUCAAUCAUUUUUGAACCUCUCAUUAAUUAAAAGUAGUUCUUAAUCCUCCAUAUAAUUUGCUAUGUUCCAGUUUACUGGGCAGGCAGGCAAAACUAUUCCCUGCCUAAUGCCAAUACCAUCCCCUGAGCUAGGAGAUUUAACUGAAAGCCUGCAAUGAACCUCAUUUUAAACUUUUCUCCCUUACUAUUAAAGUGCCUGUUCCUCUCUUCAAUUUUUCUUGAUGGCAUGUCUGAAACUGGGAACUCACUAUGUGGAGAAUCGUGGGAAUGUACCAACACCCUGCCACUUGCUCAUACUGGAAAAUUAGUUCUCAGCUGCAGAACUAAAUUAAAAUAAAGCAAUGUCUUCAUACAUACAGUUAAUUCUUCUUCUCAUUCGAAGAAAAUAUUAUGACUAUCAAGUACCCUUUAGUUAACACUUGCCUAAUUGAGACCUUUCAUCCAAUAAAAUUUGAUAUAAAAUAAUCGUGUGUGCUAUUUCCUUGAAUUGAAAUUAUAAUCCACCAAAAUACUCUCAAAAAAUAUUGCUCUAUUGUACAAGCAGUGAUUAAGCAGCAUUGUGAAUGAAUUAAAUUUUUAUAAACCGUC